Molecule: ribosomal RNA, 253 nt
Filed under: uncultured bacterium
Lineage: Bacteria
Description: partial 16S ribosomal RNA
Rfam family: Bacterial small subunit ribosomal RNA
Source: RNAcentral
UACGUAGGGUUCAAGCGUUAUCCGGAUUUAUUGGGCGUAAAGCACAUGUAGGUGGAUUGACGCGUCUCGGCUUAAAGCUCUGGGCUUAACCCAGAAUCUGGCUGAGAUACGGUCUUUCUUGUGGUCAGCAGGGGCAAACGGAAUUCCCGGUGUAGGAGUGAAAUCCGUUGAUAUCGGGAGGAACACCAAUGGCGAAGGCAGUUUGCUAGGCUGAUUCAGACACUGAGAUGUGAAAGCGUGGGGAGCGAACGGG